AAUUGGUAUACCUGCUUUUAGGCUUGUUAUGAUAGAAGGGUUCUAAGAAGCCCAAGUGUUGUAACUGUUUAUCUACCUCUAAUAUCCGAGAAACCAAUACAAGUAAGACUCGUCUCUAUUUGAGAUGCAGUGGUAGAACAAUGUAAUCAUAAUUUCUAACAUUUUUCAUAUGUUUAGACGAAGGAUUUCCAAGUCUCAAGAGAUUGAGGCCAAGCUUGUAAGAAAUGAAUCGCAAAAUGUCUAUAGGAGGGAUUAGAAAAUCUUCAUAUGGUCAUUGCAAAGGCAAAUGAUAAAAGUUUAUAAAUCCCUACUUAAAAUGUGUCAUUUACCUAUCUCUCUUAAAAACAGUUUAUUGAUUUCUUUAUAAUGUCUCAAAUGAAGUAAACGUAUCUUGGAAAAUCAAACCAACUUUUUCUCUUGUUUCUAUUUCGAGGUCUUCGUUUUCGAACUUUCAAAAUCCAUUAAAUCACAACAAAUAAAAUUUGGUCGGCAUCUUUUUCUCACCGAAUGGACGAAACCCUACACGGCUCAAACACAACCCAUAGCCCACUGCCACCCAAGCUUUAUUUAUGUUGCAAUUAGUUUUGGAAAAGGCACAGUUGGCAACAGACAGGCCGUUGCCCAAUGUGCCACUUGGUCAUUGAUUGGAUUUAUAGUUUCUAGUUAGCAGCUCCACACAUGCAAAAAUUUGUCACGUCUCACGCUUCUUUGGUUACAAUAAACUUCGUCAAAGUUAAUUACCAAACAAGACCAACUUGUAGAUUCUCAAGCUUGAUGGCAUGCAUUUCACUCUAAAAAAUCAGUGAAUUCUCACAGAUUUACAACGAGUAUUGCACUUUUUAAACACGUAACCGGCUUUUAUUGGAUGAUAAUGUCACUUGAACAAAAAUUUGAUUACAUAGAAGAAUCUUUUGUUAAUAAGAUAAGAGUAUAAAAUGCAAGAUCUUAUGAGCUAAGUAACGCAUUUUGGUUGUUCGUUUCACUUUAAAUAGCUAGUUACCCCCUUAAUCCUAUUCUAUUUUGUGGUUAAUCUAGGUUACUUAUGAGUUGACCAAGAUCAGCUAAAGAACCUUGUUAAUUAGGACAAGCCCCCAUGGGGCCAGACUGGCCAGUUUAUAUGCAAUUUAGUUUUUUUCUUUGAUUGUGAUUGUGAUUGUGAUUGAAGGACAGAAACAUCAAUUUCUAGCAUAUCUAAUUAAAAGAUUUAAAGUCUAGAUACAUAUGAUUCAUGGACAUAUCACUCUGAGGGGGCGUUAAAGGGGUGCUAAAGGUGCAGUAGGGCCCCAAAUUUGAAGGGGUUCUAAAAUUUUUGUCAACUAAUAUUUAUAUGGAAUAAUAUUCUAUAUUUAAAAUUGCUUUUGUUAUGAGAUAAUGUUCUAUAUUCAAAAAUUGAUUUUGUGAGCACUUUAAAAUCUCAUCUUACAUUACUUAUAAGCAUAAUUUUUUUCUUUUCUAAAUAUAAAAAUUUAGAACACAAUAAGAUAUUUUGAGUGUCAAUAAUACAUCAUAAAAGACGGUAUUUUUUCAAUAUUAUUAUAUAAUAAAGUUACAUAUUCAAGUGAAACUUUAAAGUUAGAGUUUUUAAAAUUUGUUUUCUUGUUUGGUUAUUUAAGAGUGAAAUGCUUUUGAUUAUUUAGUGAACGUUUAUGUUUGUAGCUCUUUUACUUAUUACUAAUGACAUUUUUAAACUUGCAAUCAGUGAGUGCUAAACUUUGUUUUGAUUUAAGUAAUUGAUUUCUAGUGUCAAUACAUUGUCCUACAUUUUUUUAAGACUAUCUUAAGGAGGGGCGCUUUUAUAAAUUCCGCACAGGGCCCUUAAAAUCUCAGAGACGGCCCUGAUAUCACUAAUCAUCAGACGUAUCUGCCUAUGAUAACUUGUAAUAAAGUUCAUUGAUUCAUUGUCGACUCUAACAACUCACAACUAAUUAAUCCUCAAUCGUUCAUCUUUGCGAUGAUCAUAAGUAAAUUCAUUCGAUGGUGUUGGUUAUAUGUCAAUAUAAUUAAAUAAUUGGUUUUAAUGCCAAUAGACUAAUAACCUAUUAGCUCGUUUUGCUCUUAGCAUAAAUGAUGUUGGAAGUUGGUUUGAGAAAAUUUCUCAUGACAUUAUUGAUGUUUUUUUUUUUACACCUGUAACUCUUUUUUACUAUAGUAUGGGGUUUUUUUUAGGAAGAGUG
Molecule: long non-coding RNA, 2174 nt
Filed under: Malus domestica (apple)
Lineage: Eukaryota; Viridiplantae; Streptophyta; Magnoliopsida; Rosales; Rosaceae
Description: long non-coding RNA (MDOM_LNC000898)
Source: RNAcentral